CUACGAUUGAUGGCUUAGUGAGGCCUUCGGAUUGGUUUAAAGAAGGGGGCAACUCCAUCUUGGAACCGAGAAGUUGGUCAAACUUGGUCAUUUAGAGGAAGUAAAAGUCGUAACAAGGUUUCCGUAGGUGAACCUGCGGAAGGAUCAUUACAGUAUUUGGACGUAAUUCUUCUGGUAUCUUGCCAGCGCUUAAUUGCGCGGCGAGUGCUAUUAGAAGUCCAUAAGUUCUUACACACAGUGUUUUUUGUUUGUGAAAAAAAAUUACUUUGGUCUGGAGCUAGAAAUAGUUUUGGGCCAGAGGACAACCUAACUUCAAUUUAUAUUGAAUUGUUUUUAAAUUUAUUUGUCAAAUUAUUGAUAUUAAUCAAAAAUCUUCAAAACUUUCAACAACGGAUCUCUUGGUUCUCGCAUCGAUGAAGAACGCAGCGAAAUGCGAUAAGUAAUAUGAAUUGCAGAUUUUCGUGAAUCAUCGAAUCUUUGAACGCACAUUGCGCCCUUUGGUAUUCCAAAGGGCAUGCCUGUUUGAGCGUCAUUUCUCUCUCAAACCGCAAGGUUUGGUGUUGAGCGAUAUAGAUAUUCAGUAUCUAUUUGCUUGAAAUGGAUUGGCAUGAGUAUUUACAGUAGAUAAAUGCCGUUUGACUCUUCAAUGUAUUAGGUCUAACCAACUCGUUGAAACAGUUAGCGGUAGUAUCUGUGUAAAAGAGGCUCGGCCUUACAACAAUCUACAAAGUUGACCUCAAAUCAGGUAGAUUCGAAUAUCAAUAAGCGGAGGAAAAGAAACCAACAGGGAUUGCCUUAGUAACGGCGAGUGAAGCGGCAAAAGCUCAAAUUUGAAAUCUGGCGUCUUCGGCGUCCGAGUUGUAAUUUGAAGAAGGCUACUUUGGAGCUGGAGUUUGUCUAAGUUCCUUGGAACAGGACGUCACAGAGGGUGAGAAUCCCGUGAGAUAAGCUUCCCAGUUCUAUGUAAAGUGCUUUCGAAGAGUCGAGUUGUUUGGGAAUGCAGCUCUAAGUGGGUGGUAAAUUCCAUCUAAAGCUAAAUAUUGGCGAGAGACCGAUAGCGAACAAGUACAGUGAUGGAAAGAUGAAAAGAACUUUGAAAAGAGAGUGAAAAAGUACGUGAAAUUGUUGAAAGGGAAGGGCUUGAGAUCAGACAUGGUAUUUUGUAAACCUUCUCUCUCGUGGAGGGGGCCCCUUGCAGUUUACUGGGCCAGCAUCAGUUUGGGCGGUAGGAUAAUGACUAAGGAAUGUGACUUGCCUUCGGGGAAGUGUUAUAGCCUUGGUUGAUACUGCCAGCCUAGACUGAGGACCGCGUCUUGACAAGGA
This 1323-nucleotide ribosomal RNA is filed under the name Millerozyma farinosa. Its description in RNAcentral is "LSU rRNA". The stretch from base 732 to 1323 matches the Rfam family "Eukaryotic large subunit ribosomal RNA", at positions 1 to 611 of the family's 3401-position model. The record is from RNAcentral. Lineage: Eukaryota; Fungi; Ascomycota; Pichiomycetes; Serinales; Debaryomycetaceae.